Molecule: ribosomal RNA, 512 nt
Filed under: uncultured bacterium
Lineage: Bacteria
Description: partial 16S ribosomal RNA
Rfam family: Bacterial small subunit ribosomal RNA
Source: RNAcentral
GACGAACGCUGGCGGCGUGCCUAACACAUGCAAGUCGAACGGAGAGUUAGCAAUAACUCUUAGCGGCGAACGGGUGAGUAACGCGUAGACAACCUACCUUCUAGAUGGGGACAACACCGCGAAAGUGGUGCUAAUACCGAAUGUGCUCGCGAGUAUGCAUAUACAUGCGAGGAAAGGUGGCCUCUGAACAUGCUACCGCUAGAAGAUGGGUCUGCGUCUGAUUAGCUAGUUGGCGGGGUAAAGGCCCACCAAGGCGACGAUCAGUAGCCGGUCUGAGAGGAUGAACGGCCACACUGGGACUGAGACACGGCCCAGACUCCUACGGGAGGCAGCAGUGGGGAAUCUUCCGCAAUGGACGAAAGUCUGACGGAGCAACGCCGCGUGAGUGAAGAAGGCCUUCGGGUUGUAAAGCUCUGUUAUUAGGGAAGAACGUACCAUAUGUAAAUAAUGUAUGGUAGUGACGGUACCUAAGGAGGAAGCCACGGCUAACUACGUGCCAGCAGCCGCGGUAA